RNAcentral lists this ribosomal RNA (327 nucleotides) under uncultured eukaryote. Its description in RNAcentral is "partial 18S ribosomal RNA". It matches the Rfam family "Eukaryotic small subunit ribosomal RNA", at positions 1470 to 1796 of the family's 1831-position model. The record is from RNAcentral.
CCCUUAGAUGUUCUGGGCCGCACGCGCGCUACACUGACGAAUGCAACGAGCUUAUAACCUUGGCCGAAAGGUCUGGGUAAUCUCCAAAUUUCGUCGUGAUGGGGAUAGAUUAUUGCAAUUAUUAAUCUUCAACGAGGAAUGCCUAGUAAGCGCAAGUCAUCAGCUUGCGUUGAUUACGUCCCUGCCCUUUGUACGCACCGCCCGUCGCUCCUACCGAUUGAAUGGUCCGGUGAAGCGUUCGGACCGUGGCCUUUGGACGGUUCGCCGUCUGUUGGCUGCGGGAAGUUCGUUAAACCUUAUCAUUUAGAGGAAGGAGAAGUCGUANCA